RNAcentral lists this small nucleolar RNA (106 nucleotides) under Olea europaea subsp. europaea. RNAcentral describes it as "Plant small nucleolar RNA R71". It matches the Rfam family "Plant small nucleolar RNA R71". From Rfam's summary of the family: R71 is a member of the C/D box family of snoRNAs containing the C (UGAUGA) and D (CUGA) box motifs. Multiple nearly identical copies of this snoRNA have been identified in Arabidopsis, and it is thought to function as a 2'-O-ribose methylation guide for 18S ribosomal RNA. Lineage: Eukaryota; Viridiplantae; Streptophyta; Magnoliopsida; Lamiales; Oleaceae. The record is from Rfam by way of RNAcentral.
UAUCCAUGGUGGGGGCAAAUGGUUUGCAACUUUUUGUAUCUCUCCCAGGCUUGGUAUAAGGUUUCACUAUCCUUUUAGGCAAAUGAAAAAAUUGCUUCUUAAGGGU